UACAGAGGUCUCGAGCGUUGUUCGGAUUCAUUGGGCGUAAAGGGUGCGUAGGUGGUCUGGUAAGUCGGAUGUGAAAUCCCGGAGCUUAACUUCGGAACUGCAUUCGAUACUGCCGGACUGGAGUACUGGAGAGGAGAUCGGAAUUUACGGUGUAGCAGUGAAAUGCGUAGAUAUCGUAAGGAAGACCAGUGGCGAAGGCGGAUCUCUGGACAGUUACUGACACUGAGGCACGAAGGCCAGGGGAGCAAACGGG
This 253-nucleotide ribosomal RNA is filed under the name uncultured bacterium. Its description in RNAcentral is "partial 16S ribosomal RNA". It matches the Rfam family "Bacterial small subunit ribosomal RNA", at positions 524 to 776 of the family's 1533-position model. RNAcentral also lists the same sequence under 2 other names. The record is from RNAcentral.